Molecule: ribosomal RNA, 253 nt
Filed under: uncultured bacterium
Lineage: Bacteria
Description: partial 16S ribosomal RNA
Rfam family: Bacterial small subunit ribosomal RNA
Source: RNAcentral
UACAGAGGCCCCAAGCAUUAUCCGGAAUCACUGGGCGUAAAGGGUGUCAAGGCGGUUAUGUUAGUCGUUCGUUAAAUCUGGGGGCUCAACCUCCAGCCUGCGAGCGAAACGGCAUAACUUGAGGUCGGGAGAGGUAUGUGGAACUCAUGGUGUAGGGGUGAAAUCCGUUGAUAUCAUGGGGAACACCAAAGGCGAAGGCAGCAUACUGGCCCGAAUCUGACGCUCACACACGAAAGCCAGGGUAGCGAAUGGG